GCUCGGGGAGUUCUGACAGAGGCUGCCAAGCGCGGGUCUGCGGGGGGAAGUGACUGGCUGUUUCCACUGUCGGCCGCUCCCUGCAGCUAUAUAUUGAAGACAAUGUCUGGAAGCUUCUACUUUGUAAUUCUGGGCCACCAUGAUAAUCCAGUUUUUGAAAUGGAAUUUUGCCAGCUGGGAAAGCAGAAUCCAAAGAUGAUCAUCGUCGUCUGAACCAGUUCAUAGCUCAUGCCGCUCUUGACCUCGUAGAUGAGAACAUGUGGCUGUCCAACAACAUGUACUUGAAAACUGUGGACAAGUUCAAUGAGUGGUUUGUUUCAGCAUUUGUUACUGCAGGUCAUAUCCUUAUCUUUUAAAUAAAGAUCUCUAACUAAAAGUUGGGGUAACAGACUAGAACAACAUGGGACAUACAUGCCAGACUGAGUCUGUGGACUUCAAUGUGUCAGGUAAAAACUGCCAUUUACGAGGCUACUUUUAUUUUUUUUUAGGGGAAGAAUUUUUGUUUAUCUUGCUUAACAGAUAAUUUUGUUUAACAGAUACUUUUAGAACCAAGUCUCAAAUAAAACUAAGUUUAAUCUGAACCAUUAGAUUGAUUUUACUUUAUUUUGUAGUAACUCUCUAACUUUAGAAUGAUUAUGUCAUCUUUAAGAUAAAAGUUACCUAACUUCAAACCCAGUUUAUGUAUGCAGCUUUUCCAUCACAAAAUAUAAUGCAUGUGACUCAUUUGAAGGAUAUCGUAUCACCUACUUUUCAUUUUUGAUUUCUAUUAAGAUUAUACCUUAAUUCUUUCACAUAUGAGAUUUAUUAUGCUUCAUGACAUAAGCCUGGGUGGCUCAGUUGGUUAAGCGACUGCCUUCGGCUCAGGUCAUGAUCCUGGAGUCCCGGGAUCGAGUCCCAUAUCGGGCUCCCUGCUCAGCAGGGAGUCUGCUUCUCCCUCUGACC
This is a long non-coding RNA of Zalophus californianus (California sea lion), 942 nucleotides long. RefSeq lists it as uncharacterized. The transcript is spliced from 3 exons. Lineage: Eukaryota; Metazoa; Chordata; Mammalia; Carnivora; Otariidae. The record is from RefSeq and is a predicted model, not a curated record.